Molecule: ribosomal RNA, 657 nt
Filed under: Salmonella enterica
Lineage: Bacteria; Pseudomonadati; Pseudomonadota; Gammaproteobacteria; Enterobacterales; Enterobacteriaceae
Description: partial 23S ribosomal RNA
Rfam family: Bacterial large subunit ribosomal RNA
Source: RNAcentral
GGGUUGUGAGGUUAAGCGACUAAGCGUACACGGUGGAUGCCCUGGCAGUCAGAGGCGAUGAAGGGCGUGCUAAUCUGCGAUAAGCGCCGGUAAGGUGAUAUGAACCGUUAUAACCGGCGAUACCCGAAUGGGGAAACCCAGUGUGAUUCGUCACACUAUCAUUAACUGAAUCCAUAGGUUAAUGAGGCGAACCGGGGGAACUGAAACAUCUAAGUACCCCGAGGAAAAGAAAUCAACCGAGAUUCCCCCAGUAGCGGCGAGCGAACGGGGAGGAGCCCAGAGCCUGAAUCAGCAUGUGUGUUAGUGGAAGCGUCUGGAAAGGCGCGCGAUACAGGGUGACAGCCCCGUACACAAAAGCGUAUGUGCUGUGAGCUCGAUGAGUAGGGCGGGACACGUGGUAUCCUGUCUGAAUAUGGGGGGACCAUCCUCCAAGGCUAAAUACUCCUGACUGACCGAUAGUGAACCAGUACCGUGAGGGAAAGGCGAAAAGAACCCCGGCGAGGGGAGUGAAAAAGAACCUGAAACCGUGUACGUACAAGCAGUGGGAGCACCCUUUGGGGUGUGACUGCGUACCUUUUGUAUAAUGGGUCAGCGACUUAUAUUCUGUAGCAAGGUUAACCGAAUAGGGGAGCCGGAGGGAAACCGAGUCUUAAUUGG